Molecule: ribosomal RNA, 497 nt
Filed under: uncultured bacterium
Lineage: Bacteria
Description: partial 16S ribosomal RNA
Rfam family: Bacterial small subunit ribosomal RNA
Source: RNAcentral
GAUGAACGCUGGCGGCGUGCCUAACACAUGCAAGUCGAGCGAACGGACGAUAAGCGCGCGUUCCUGAGGUUAGCGGCGGACGGGUGAGUAACACGUGGAUAGCCUUCCUAUUAUUCUUGGAUAACAUCGGGAAGCCGGAGCUAAUAAUAGAUCAUAUGUUGUACGGGAUGGUUCAGGAGUUAAUGACGGUUUUGCUGUUUCUUAGAGCUGGUGCCGGGCUGGAUUAGCUAGUUGGUAAGGUAACGGCCUACCAAGGCGACGAUGCAUAGCCGACCUGAGAGGGUGAUCGGCCACACUGGAACUGAGACACGGUCCAGACUCCUACGGGAGGCAGCAGUGGGGAAUCUUGCGCAAUGGGCGCAAGCCUGACCGAGCCACGCCGCGUGGGUGAAGAAGGUCUUCGGGUCGUAAAGCUCUGUUAUUGGGGAAGAAAAUCUGUGGAAGUAACCGUGGCCGUCUUGACGGUACCCAAAGAGAAAGCCACGGCUAACUACGUG